AUGAAGGACGAGGGCAGACCGCG
This 23-nucleotide microRNA is filed under the name Gallus gallus (chicken). RNAcentral's name for it is "Gga-Mir-1751_3p (mature (guide))". Lineage: Eukaryota; Metazoa; Chordata; Aves; Galliformes; Phasianidae. The record is from RNAcentral.